AGAGUUUGAUCAUGGCUCAGGACGAACGCUGGCGGCGUGCUUAACACAUGCAAGUCGAACGGAAAGGCCCCUUCGGGGGUACUCGAGUGGCGAACGGGUGAGUAACACGUGGGCAACCUGCCCCUAGCUCUGGGAUAACUCCGGGAAACCGGUGCUAAUACCGGAUGUCGACCUUUGCAGGCAUCUGCAUUGGUCAAAAGUUUUUCGGCUAGGGAUGGGCCCGCGGCCUAUCAGCUUGUUGGUGGGGUAACGGCCUACCAAGGCGACGACGGGUAGCCGGCCUGAGAGGGCGACCGGCCACACUGGGACUGAGACACGGCCCAGACUCCUACGGGAGGCAGCAGUGGGGAAUAUUGCGCAAUGGGCGAAAGCCUGACGCAGCGACGCCGCGUGAGGGAUGACGGCCUUCGGGUUGUAAACCUCUUUCAGCUCUGACGAAAAUGACGGUAGGAGCAGAAGAAGCACCGGCCAACUACGUGUCAGCAGCCGCGGUAAUACGUAGGGUGCAAGCGUUGUCCGGAAUUAUUGGGCGUAAAGAGCUCGUAGGCGGUCUGUCGCGUCGAAUGUGAAAACCCGGGGGCUCAACCCCGGGCCUGCAUUCGAUACGGGCAGACUAGAGUUCGGUAGGGGAGUCUGGAAUUCCUGGUGUAGCGGUGAAAUGCGCAGAUAUCAGGAGGAACACCGGUGGCGAAGGCGGGACUCUGGGCCGAUACUGACGCUGAGGAGCGAAAGCGUGGGGAGCGAACAGGAUUAGAUACCCUAGUAGUCC
This 769-nucleotide ribosomal RNA is filed under the name uncultured bacterium. RNAcentral describes it as "bacterial SSU rRNA". It matches the Rfam family "Bacterial small subunit ribosomal RNA", at positions 8 to 796 of the family's 1533-position model. The record is from RNAcentral.